CUGGGACCAGUUCACCUUCUUUGCCCUAGGAGCGUGGGAUGGCAGUGGAGGAGCUUCCUUCCAGAUGCUGGGACUGGCUCACCUUCUCUGCCCUAGGAGCGUGGUGUGGCAGUGGAGGACCCUCCUUCUGGAUGCUGGGACUGGCUCACCUUCUCUCUUAAUGAUUUCCAGAUGGUGUAAGUUUGGAAGGAUUUUCAGUUAUUAUAGCACAACUCCUUGGCCUCAACAUUGGAUUAACAUAUGAUGACAUAAAUAAUUGUUCAUGUCCAAGAGCUACAUGCGUAAUGAAUCAUGAAUCAGUGAGUUCCAGUGGUAUCAAGAUUUUUAGUAACUGUAGCAUGCAUGAAUAUAGGCAUUUUGUUUCAAAAAUUGAGGCAGAUUGACUUCACAACCUUUCAAAUUUUCAACUUCUGUAUCAAACUCAACCAUUGGCUGGCAGUGGGAUUUUGGAAUCUAAUGAAGAAUAUGACUGUGGUUACAAAGAGGUAAGCGAAGAAUGUUGAAAUACGAGCACAAUUUUUACAACUCUAAUAAAACAUGCUUGUCAAUGGAAUUAUAUAUGUAACUUUGUCUUACAUUUAUAACUGAGACAUAAGAAUGAGCAUAAGUUAAAGGAAUCACUUCCCCAUACCUCUUGAACUGAGAAGAUCAAUGUAGCCUGAAGUCCUGGUUUGCAUAGCUACUUCAAAUCACCCUUGGAAAUACAUUUUGAAUAUAUCAGGUAAAUUAAAUCCUUUUCAGCCAUGAUUCAGUUUCUAACUUAUAUGAUCUUAUUCUGUAUUUUUUUCUACACAAACUUCUGCAAAUGUUUUUCCAAAACUUUCCCUGUCCCUUGUGGUUGCAACAAUUUCUAGACAUCCUAAUAGGUUUUCUUUAGUCAUUCUCAAACAUUGCUGCAAUUAUAAAGUCUUGGAUGGUGAAGAAGCUUUUUCAGUUUGCUCAUUUCUAAAUAUAGAUAUUCAAACAAAUUUUCAAUACUCUCCUCUCAACCAGAAAGCCCAUGUAUUUAGUCUCUUGUAAAUAUUGUUGGUGUGUAUUUAAUGACUCCCUUCUAUUUAAGUAAAAUAAAGAAUCUUCAUGAUUCCCCCUAGCAGUACAUAAAUUAUUUCCUUUGACAAAAACAGAUGAGUACCACAUAGUUAUGUACCACUAAAUGCUUACAAGUUCUCUCAGGCAUCUGCCACUGCACACAGUAAAAUCUGAUAUGAAUGAAUGUCCUGGUGCACAUGUGUGCAUGUGUGUAUAUGUAGAAUCCAUAUAUGUAUGGUUUCCAGCUAGCAUGAACUUCUCAAAGCUGUCUUAUUUUGCUGAUAUGCAUUGCUAUGCUCAUCUUGGAUUCUCCUGCCCCUAGAUAUGUUGCCAUCUCUUUGUCGAUAAAUCCUGCUUUUAAAAUGAAAGACAGAAUAAAACAACACAGUCUGAAUAGAUCUGCACCCUGUGAGUUUCUACAACCAGAGGCUGUACCCAGACUGUCACAUAGAAGAUCCCUCCAGUGCCUCAUCAGUAUCUUCUUCACAGUAACUGUUGCCACAGUGUAUUUUUAAUCUUUAUUUUUUUAUUGGAAUGUCAAUUUAAAAAUUGCUGUGAUUUUAGAACAUGUAAGCUGAAAGGCUCAGCAGAAUGUGGUUCAGGACCAUGUUGCAGAUCAAACUGUGAGAUAUGUGAUAAUUUUGGUAAUUGCCAAUGCUUUCCAGACCACAGGCCCCCAGACUGUGAAUUCCGUCUUAGUUCACCAGGGGGCAGUAUUGACGAUGGAAAUGUUCAGAAAUCAGCAAAUCCUUCUUUCAUUGUUGAUCUUCAUCCCAGUAUCAAAGUGGUGUUUCUUCCUCUAAACCCCACCUCUUCAAUUCAACCAGUUGAUCAAGGAAUUAUCUCACUCUUUAAGACUUACGACCUGGGAAGACUUUUGUCAGGCUGUUUGCACAACUGAGGAAGACACUGAGAAGACAUGCAGUCCACAGUGCAGUAUCUGCUAGAGCUGAGGAAGACACUGAGCAGAUAUUGGUGGCUAUGGUGCAUUAUUGGCCUACAAACAAAUCUAUAAUGGAAGAGAAGAAGAGAAAGAAUGCAUCCACUGCACCAGAAAGCUACCACGUGGAAUAUGAAGACUGCCAAGGUCGCCAGCAAAUGGCCUAAAGAAGAAAAUGAGCUUUAUAACCCUAAAGUCCCGC
This 2171-nucleotide long non-coding RNA is filed under the name Heterocephalus glaber (naked mole-rat). RNAcentral's name for it is "lncRNA (ENSHGLG00000031574.2)". Lineage: Eukaryota; Metazoa; Chordata; Mammalia; Rodentia; Bathyergidae. The record is from RNAcentral.